RNAcentral lists this ribosomal RNA (497 nucleotides) under uncultured bacterium. RNAcentral's name for it is "partial 16S ribosomal RNA". It matches the Rfam family "Bacterial small subunit ribosomal RNA", at positions 28 to 507 of the family's 1533-position model. The record is from RNAcentral.
GAUGAACGCUGGCGGCGUGCCUAAUACAUGCAAGUCGAGCGAACAGACGAGGAGCUUGCUCCUCUGACGUUAGCGGCGGACGGGGGAGUAACACGUGGAUAACCUACCUAUAAGACUGGGAUAACUUCGGGAAACCGGAGCUAAUACCGGAUAAUAUAUUGAACCGCAUGGUUCAAUAGUGAAAGACGGUUUUGCUGUCACUUAUAGAUGGAUCCGCGCCGCAUUAGCUAGUUGGUAAGGUAACGGCUUACCAAGGCAACGAUGCGUAGCCGACCUGAGAGGGUGAUCGGCCACCCUGGAACUGAGACACGGCCCAGACUCCUACGGGAGGCAGCAGUCGGGAAUCCUCCGCGAUGGGCGAAAGCCUGACGGAGCACCACCGCGUGAGUGAUGAAGGUCUUCCGAUCGUAAAACUCUGUUAUUAGGGAAAACCAAAUGUGUAAGUAACUAUGCACGUCUUGACGGUACCUUAUCAGAAAGCCACGGCUAACUACGUG